ACUCCUACGGGAGGCAGCAGUGGGGAAUAUUGCACAAUGGGCGCAAGCCUGAUGCAGCCAUGCCGCGUGUGUGAAGAAGGCCUUCGGGUUGUAAAGCACUUUCAGUCGUGAGGAAGGUAGUGUAGUUAAUAGCUGCAUUAUUUGACGUUAGCGACAGAAGAAGCACCGGCUAACUCCGUGCCAGCAGCCGCGGUAAUACGGAGGGUGCGAGCGUUAAUCGGAAUUACUGGGCGUAAAGCGCAUGCAGGUGGUUUGUUAAGUCAGAUGUGAAAGCCCGGGGCUCAACCUCGGAAUAGCAUUUGAAACUGGCAGACUAGAGUACUGUAGAGGGGGUAGAAUUUCAGGUGUAGCGGUGAAAUGCGUAGAGAUCUGAAGGAAUACCGGUGGCGAAGGCGGCCCCUGGACAGAUACUGACACUCAGAUGCGAAAGGCUGGGGGCAAACAGGAUUAGAUACCCCUGGUAGCGACUGA
Molecule: ribosomal RNA, 471 nt
Filed under: uncultured bacterium
Lineage: Bacteria
Description: bacterial SSU rRNA
Rfam family: Bacterial small subunit ribosomal RNA
Source: RNAcentral